Molecule: non-coding RNA, 136 nt
Organism: Triticum aestivum (bread wheat)
Lineage: Eukaryota; Viridiplantae; Streptophyta; Magnoliopsida; Poales; Poaceae
Source: Rfam
UAAAUACUCCCUCCGUCCCAAAAAUUCUUGUCUUAGAUUUGUCCAAAUAUGGAUGUGUCUGGUCAUGUUUUAGUGUUAGAUACAUCCUUAUCUAGACAAAUGUUAGACAAGAAUUUUGGGACGGAGGGAGUAUAAG